Molecule: ribosomal RNA, 234 nt
Filed under: uncultured bacterium
Lineage: Bacteria
Description: partial 16S ribosomal RNA
Rfam family: Bacterial small subunit ribosomal RNA
Source: RNAcentral
GGGACGGGUGAGUAAUGUCUGGGAAACGUGCCUGAUGGAGGGGGAUAACUACUGGAAACGGUAGCUAAUACCGCAUAACGUCGCAAGACCAAAGAGGGGGACCGUUCGGGCCUCUUGCCAUCGGAUGUGCCCAGAUGGGAUUAGCUAGUAGGUGGGGUAACGGCUCACCUAGGCGACGAUCCCUAGCUGGUCUGAGAGGAUGACCAGCCACACUGAAACUGAGACACGGUCCAG